ACAAUGGCUAAGAGGAACAGGAAUGCAGACACAGGAAGUAAAAUGAUCCACUGGUCAAAUUAUAUAGAUAACGUCCUAGUAAACUCGUUUUACGAUCAACAUUUGUGUGGUCGUAGAUCGGGUGGGGGCAUUCACAUCACACGCUAUUGAUUGUGUAGGUGAAGAAGUGAGGAAUGCAUUUCCAGAGCUUGACAUUGAUAAAGAGCAUAUACACAGCCGCAUAAAAAAUUUGAAAAGGCAAUUCUCAAAAUAUUAUGAUG
RNAcentral lists this long non-coding RNA (260 nucleotides) under Carica papaya (papaya). RNAcentral describes it as "long non-coding RNA (CPAP_LNC008767)". Lineage: Eukaryota; Viridiplantae; Streptophyta; Magnoliopsida; Brassicales; Caricaceae. The record is from RNAcentral.